Molecule: long non-coding RNA, 215 nt
Filed under: Populus trichocarpa (black cottonwood)
Lineage: Eukaryota; Viridiplantae; Streptophyta; Magnoliopsida; Malpighiales; Salicaceae
Description: long non-coding RNA (PTRI_LNC002157)
Source: RNAcentral
UUGCGUAUUUCUUUUAAAAAAAAGUUUCAGAUCUCGUUAUUAUUUUUUAAUUCGAUUAUUAAAAUUGGACGAUAUUAAUUUUGAUACUGUGUAUGAUAUUGCAUUCGGGAAGGCCAUAGUUUUAGAGCAUAGGCACGAUGAUCAUGAGAAUUUGGAAACUAAAAGGAAAAUAUGAAAUGGGGUGGUCGGCGUUUGGCGGUGUGUGGCGGUGCAGC